RNAcentral lists this unclassified non-coding RNA (84 nucleotides) under Pseudomonas trivialis. The record is from RNAcentral. Lineage: Bacteria; Pseudomonadati; Pseudomonadota; Gammaproteobacteria; Pseudomonadales; Pseudomonadaceae.
GAUAAGGGCUGGCUUGCCUGCGCAGACACCUCGCUGUAUCAGACAGACCGAGGUGACGCUAUCGCAGGCAAGCCAGCUCCCACA